Molecule: long non-coding RNA, 239 nt
Filed under: Solanum tuberosum (potato)
Lineage: Eukaryota; Viridiplantae; Streptophyta; Magnoliopsida; Solanales; Solanaceae
Description: long non-coding RNA (STUB_LNC005197)
Source: RNAcentral
AAGCUACUGUCACUGCACGCGAACACUCCGCUCUACUUGCUCCUCCGUUGGUUUUCAUCGGCGUACGAUCUCCGAUCUCCGACCUCCGACCUCCGACCUCCGACCACCGUAUAAAUCGCUUCAUAGAACUCCGGUUAAGAUAUAAAUUCUUAGUAAACAGUAAUUAGAAGUAACAAAAAUGGUGGAAUUCUCCAUGGCCAAUGCCCAAGCAUUUAUAGAUGAAGAUGAUGAACUGGAUG